Molecule: long non-coding RNA, 648 nt
Filed under: Coturnix japonica (Japanese quail)
Lineage: Eukaryota; Metazoa; Chordata; Aves; Galliformes; Phasianidae
Description: lncRNA (ENSCJPG00005003521.1)
Source: RNAcentral
GUGCGUAACACCUCAUGUUGCCUGCUCUUUUGCUCUGAGAUCAGCCAAAAUAAAAGCAUAAUUUUAGUGUUAGCUGGUUGCUGUGACUCCUGCAAAAAACUCGUGAAGAAAUUAUUUAUUCCCUGUUUACACAAAGAGUGUCCGCUAUUAGUACUGCUUUAGGCCAAAAAGAGCUAAGGAAGAGAGGGGAUUGUCUCCCUUGUAGUCUUCUGGAAGCACCAUGUUUUAUUUCUUUAGCUUAAGGAAACAGCAGUAGCAGGGUUUCUGGCUACAGUAUAUCGCUAACACAUGCUCAGUGAGUAACAGAUAAUAUGAUGUUAUUAUUCUUUUCUUGUCACUUGAGUCCCAGGUUUACUCAGGAUCAUCCAGAAUCCAAUGCUCUGCAGUGAUGAAUUGUGAAAAUAAAUGAGAUUAUUCGUGUCAGUUCGCUAUCUGAGGACUCUGUGCAACAUUUGCUAAGACUCAGUAGAUUUGUAGCCACAGAAGAAGAGGAUACCACCUGGUGUUUUGCUUCCAGAACAGUUUCUAAAGUCUCAUUUUGCCAUUCUGGGACAUCAUUCUACAGUGUGGAAAGAAAGAAAAAAGGUACGACUUACACAGCAACCUCCCAUUCUUUCUGUAUUUUGUCUCAUUUUAUUCUGUUUUUCC